UCCCAAGUUCGGAUUGUAGGCUGCAACUCGCCUACAUGAAGUUGGAAUUGCUAGUAAUCGCGGAUCAGCAUGCCGCGGUGAAUACGUUCCCGGGCCUUGUACACACCGCCCGUCACACCAUGAGAGUCGGGAACACCCGAAGUCCGUAGCCUAACCGCAAGGGGGGCGCGGCCGAAGGUGGGUUCGAUAAUUGGGGUGAAGUCGUAACAAGGUAGC
RNAcentral lists this ribosomal RNA (216 nucleotides) under uncultured bacterium. RNAcentral describes it as "partial 16S ribosomal RNA". It matches the Rfam family "Bacterial small subunit ribosomal RNA", at positions 1285 to 1500 of the family's 1533-position model. The record is from RNAcentral.